GACAGCGUCGCACUCGAGUGGCGCCCUGGCUCUACAGGCCAGAUCCUGUCCGAUCUGGAUUUGACAUCACAGAAAGAGGGAAGAUGGAAACGAAUCAACACCCUGGCCCAUUACAAUGUGAGGGAUGGAGCCACCCUGGUCUUGUCCCGAGUUCUGCACACCCAGCAGUCUUU
Carassius auratus (goldfish) is the source of this 173-nucleotide long non-coding RNA. RefSeq lists it as uncharacterized. Lineage: Eukaryota; Metazoa; Chordata; Actinopteri; Cypriniformes; Cyprinidae. The record is from RefSeq and is a predicted model, not a curated record. The transcript is spliced from 3 exons.